This is a long non-coding RNA of Mytilus californianus (California mussel), 1554 nucleotides long. RefSeq lists it as uncharacterized. The record is from RefSeq and is a predicted model, not a curated record. Lineage: Eukaryota; Metazoa; Mollusca; Bivalvia; Mytilida; Mytilidae. The transcript has 2 exons.
UUUUAUACGACCGCAAAAAAAUUUUUGUGGUCGUAUAUUGGUAUGACGUUGGCGUCGUCGUCGUCGUCCGAAUACACAUUAGUUUUCGCACUCUAACUUUAGUUUGAGUGAAUGGAUCUCAUUGAAAUUUUACCAUAAGGUUCAAUACCACAAAAGGAAGGUGGGGAUUGAUUUUGGGGGUUAUGGUACUAACAGUUAAGGAAUUAGGGGCCAAAAGGGGCCAAAAAUAAGCAUUUUUGUAACUUCCAGACAUAACUUGUGUGUAAGUGUAUGGAUCUCUCUGACAUUGUACCACAAGGUUCCAUAUCACAAAGGGAAUGCUGGGAUUGAUUUUGGGGGUAAUUGUCUCCAAAUUUUAGGAAUUAGGGGCCAAAAAGGGGCAAAAAACAAGCAUUUUUCUAGUUUCAUGACAAUAACUUGUUUGUAAGUGUAUGGAUCUUUAUGAAAUUGUACUACAAGGUUCCAUAUCACAAAGGGAAGGCUGGGAUUGAUUUUGGGGGUUUUCCCUCAAAAUUUUAGUAAUUAGGGGCCAUAAAAGGGCAAAAAAAACAUGCAUUUUUCUAGUUUCAGGACAAUAACUUGUGUGUAAGUGUAUGGAUCUUUAUGAAAUUGUACUGCAAGGUUCCAUAUCACAAAGGGAAAGCUGGAAUUGAGUUUGGGGGUAAUUGCCAUAAACGUUUAGGAAUUUGGGGCCAAAAAGGGGCCAAAAAACAAGCAUUUUUCUAGUUUCCAGACAAUAACUUGUGUUCAAGUGUAUGAAUCUCUCUGAAAUUGUACUGCAAGGUACCAUACCACAAAGGGAAAGCUGGGAUUGAGUUUGGGGGCGAUGAAUCAUAAGGGGGUUCAAAAAAUUGGGGGGGGGGGAUUUUUUUUUUCUUUAACAUUUUCCAUUUUAAAUUGGUUAUUUCUGAUUUAUAUAUAAAAGCAAAUAAUAAUGAUAUGGUUUGAAUAGGCAUACAUGUGAACCUCCCGACGGGAGUACAAUAAUCCCGUUUUCAGGGGUCUCCUCCCGACCUCCCGUUGAAAAAAUCCCGUGUAUGAAAUUUUUCAUGAAUGAAAAAUUUCUGCCCAACGUAACAUCUCAGGCAUCUGGUGUAACUGACAUUACCUGAAGUUAUAUUUUACCUGUAAAUCAAUUAACAUGCAUAAUUAUAUGGCUUCACUUGUCAGCUUGGGUGUCAAACAUACUGGUAAGCAACGAUUUUACCUCAGGCUAACUGCCGUUGUGUAACAAAAACUGUGUAUUUAUUGGGUUACUUCCCUUGAUUUAUCCUGUUUUAAGUUACUUUCCUUUUAAUAAUGAAAAUUUUUAAAAGAAUAUUAAUAAAAUAUAAAUUGAACAAAUAAUCAUAAAAGGAUGGUUAUUAAAUGAUUUUCAAUGUCUUAGGACAAAUAAAAAAAUAAUAAUUUGAAAAUUAUUUGAGGAUUCUAUACUUCCUUUUAAGGCUUAAAUUGAAAUUUAUAUAAUAACUAUGACCCUAACUUUACAGAUAGAAUGAAUUUCUGAGUUUGCAAAUAAAAACUAUUUGCAAGAGAAAAAAAAAAAAAUAAAAA